AGCGAACGCUGGCGGCAGGCCUAACACAUGCAAGUCGAACGGAUCCUUCGGGAUUAGUGGCGGACGGGUGAGUAACACGUGGGAACGUGCCCUUUGGUUCGGAACAACUCAGGGAAACUUGAGCUAAUACCGGAUGUGCCCUUCGGGGGAAAGAUUUAUCGCCAUUGGAGCGGCCCGCGUCUGAUUAGCUAGUUGGUGAGGUAACGGCCCACCAAGGCGACGAUCAGUAGCUGGUCUGAGAGGAUGAUCAGCCACACUGGGACUGAGACACGGCCCAGACUCCUGCGGGAGGCAGCAGUGGGGAAUCUUGCGCAAUGGGCGAAAGCCUGACGCAGCCAUGCCGCGUGAAUGAUGAAGGUCUUAGGAUUGUAAAAUUCUUUCAGCGGGGACGAUAAUGACGGUACCCGCAGAAGAAGCGCCGGCUAACUUCGUG
This 433-nucleotide ribosomal RNA is filed under the name uncultured bacterium. RNAcentral describes it as "partial 16S ribosomal RNA". It matches the Rfam family "Bacterial small subunit ribosomal RNA", at positions 29 to 507 of the family's 1533-position model. The record is from RNAcentral.